UGGGGAAUUUUGGACAAUGGGGGAAACCCUGAUCCAGCCAUCCCGCGUGUGCGAUGAAGGCUUUCGGGUUGUAAAGCACUUUUGGCAGGAAAGAAACGUCGUGGGUUAAUACCCCGCGAAACUGACGGUACCUGCAGAAUAAGCACCGGCUAACUACGUGCCAGCAGCCGCGGUAAUACGUAGGGUGCAAGCGUUAAUCGGAAUUACUGGGCGUAAAGCGUGCGCAGGCGGUUCGGAAAGAAAGAUGUGAAAUCCCAGAGCUUAACUUUGGAACUGCAUUUUUUAACUACCGGGCUAGAGUGUGUCAGAGGGGAGGUGGAAUUCCGCGUGUAGCAUGAAAUGCGUAGAUAUGCGGAGGAACACCGGAUGGCGAAGGCAGCCUCCUGGGAUAACACUGACGCUCAUGCACGAAAGCGUGGGGAGCAAACAGGAUUAGAUACCCUGGUAGUCCACGCCCUAAACGAUGUCAACUAGCUGUUGGGGUCUUCGGACCUUGGUAGCGCAGCUAACGCGUGAAGUUGACCGCCUGGGGAGUACGGUCGC
RNAcentral lists this ribosomal RNA (543 nucleotides) under uncultured bacterium. Its description in RNAcentral is "partial 16S ribosomal RNA". It matches the Rfam family "Bacterial small subunit ribosomal RNA", at positions 355 to 889 of the family's 1533-position model. The record is from RNAcentral.